This is a non-coding RNA of Vicugna pacos (alpaca), 433 nucleotides long. Lineage: Eukaryota; Metazoa; Chordata; Mammalia; Artiodactyla; Camelidae. The record is from RefSeq and is a predicted model, not a curated record.
GCUCUCCGCCUGGGGCCUAGCCCGAUGGCAAAGCCCACUGGCUGGAAUUGUUUAAAAGUCCCCCGCAAAUAUAAACACCUCCCAGUGUCGGGAGGAUGAAAGAAACCGCGUACUGAUACUGUGUGUGCUGACGCUGGGAGGAGGGGCAGCGAAGGCAGUGUUCAGCUGCUGUUGUGCGGUGCUGAGGCUGGGCCCUGUGAAGAGGAUUCCGUUUACGGCCGUUGGAUGCGUGCCCAGAUUGCCAUGAGCACUGUUCUUGACCCUGUACAUGCAUGUCCCAUGAGGACCAACCAUGAUCCAUUGUGCCCAGACAUCCAGGUAGGAGCCAGAAAAAGCCCUCACUAACUCACACUAAUGAGAGGGAGGCCCAUUGCAGUCCGACGGAGGUUGCUCUUGGUAAUUGAUUUUCUAUUUUUAAAAUAUGUGCUGCAGU